RNAcentral lists this ribosomal RNA (496 nucleotides) under uncultured bacterium. RNAcentral describes it as "partial 16S ribosomal RNA". It matches the Rfam family "Bacterial small subunit ribosomal RNA", at positions 29 to 507 of the family's 1533-position model. The record is from RNAcentral.
AUGAACGCUGGCGGCGUGCCUAAUACAUGCAAGUCGAGCGAACAGACGAGGAGCUUGCUCCUCUGACGUUAGCGGCGGACGGGUGAGUAACACGUGGAUAACCUACCUAUAAGACUGGGAUAACUUCGGGAAACCGGAGCUAAUACCGGAUAAUAUAUUGAACCGCAUGGUUCAAUAGUGAAAGACGGUUUUGCUGUCACUUAUAGAUGGAUCCGCGCCGCAUUAGCUAGUUGGUAAGGUAACGGCUUACCAAGGCAACGAUGCGUAGCCGACCUGAGAGGGGGAUCGGCCACACGGGAACUGAGACACGGUCCAGACUCAUGCGGGAGGCAGCAGUAGGGAAUCUUCCGCAAUGGGAGAAAGCCUGACGGAGCAACGCCGGGUGAGUGAUAAAGGUCUUCGGAUCGUAAAACUCUGUUAUUAGGGAAGAAAAAAUGUGUAAGUAACUAUGCACGUCUUGACGGUACCUAAUCAGAAAGCCAGGGCUAACUACGUG